GUGCUCGCUUCGGCACCACAUAUACUAAAAUUGGAACGAUACAGAGAAGAUUAGCAUGGUCCUUGCGCAAGGAUGACAUGCUCAUUCCUGAAGCGUUCCAUAUUAAA
Mastomys coucha (southern multimammate mouse) is the source of this 107-nucleotide small nuclear RNA. Lineage: Eukaryota; Metazoa; Chordata; Mammalia; Rodentia; Muridae. The record is from RefSeq and is a predicted model, not a curated record.